CCUACGGGUGGCAGCAGUGAGGAAUAUUGGUCAAUGGACGAGAGUCUGAACCAGCCGAGUAGCGUGAAGGAUGACUGCCCUAUGGGUUGUAAACUUCUUUUAUAUGGGAAUAAUAUGUUCCACGUGUGGGAUUUUGUCUGUACCUUAUGAAUAAGGAUCGGCUAACUCCGUGCCAGCAGCCGCGGUAAUACGGAGGAUCCGAUCGUUAUCCGGGUUUAUUGGGGUUAAAGGGAGCGUAGGUGGGUUGUUAAGUCUGUUGUGAAAGUUUGCGGCUUAAACGUAAAAUUGCAUUUGAUACUGGAAGUCUUGAGUACAGUAGAGGUAGGCGGAAUAAGUGAUGUAGCGGUGAAAUGCUUAGAUAUCACGAAGAACUCCGAUAGCGAAGGCAGCUCACUAGACUGCAACUGACACUGAGGCUCGAGAGUGUGGGUAGCAAACAGGAUUAGAUACCCCAGUAGUC
This 460-nucleotide ribosomal RNA is filed under the name uncultured bacterium. RNAcentral's name for it is "partial 16S ribosomal RNA". It matches the Rfam family "Bacterial small subunit ribosomal RNA", at positions 338 to 795 of the family's 1533-position model. The record is from RNAcentral.